This 245-nucleotide unclassified non-coding RNA is filed under the name Glomeraceae sp. RNAcentral describes it as "partial contains 5.8S ribosomal RNA and internal transcribed spacer 2". The stretch from base 1 to 71 matches the Rfam family "5.8S ribosomal RNA", at positions 84 to 154 of the family's 154-position model. The record is from RNAcentral. Lineage: Eukaryota; Fungi; Glomeromycota; Glomeromycetes; Glomerales; Glomeraceae.
GUGAAUCAUCGAAUUUUUGAACGCAAAUUGCACUCUCUGGUAUUCCAGAGAGUAUGCCUGUUUGAGGGUCAGUUUAAAUAAAAAUCGGUGUGGUUGCUGCGUUGCGUGGUGACGCAACUGAUUUGGGUCGUCUUGCCUUCUGUUAAGUAACCUAAAUUUUUGCAUGAUUUUUUACGAAAGUAUUUAAAUGAUGUUACUUACGAUUGCGAUAUCGAAUACUAGGUUUUGUCAUCCUCAUGAUUCGC